This 465-nucleotide ribosomal RNA is filed under the name uncultured bacterium. Its description in RNAcentral is "partial 16S ribosomal RNA". It matches the Rfam family "Bacterial small subunit ribosomal RNA", at positions 28 to 507 of the family's 1533-position model. The record is from RNAcentral.
GACGAACGCUGGCGGCGUGCUUAACACAUGCAAGUCGAACGGAAAGGCCCCUUUUGGGGUACUCGAGUGGCGAACGGGUGAGUAACACGUGAGUAACCUUCCCUUGACUUCGGGAUAACUUCAGGAAACUGGGGCUAAUACCGGCUAGGAAUCCUUGCUGCAUGGUGGGGGUUGGAAAGCUUCGGCGGUUUUGGAUGGACUGGCGGCUUAUCAGCUUGUUGGUGGGGUAGUGGCUUACCAAGGCGUUGACGGGUAGCCGGCCUGAGAGGGCGACCGGCCACAUUGGGACUGAGAGAAGGCCCAGACUCCUACGGGAGGCAGCAGUGGGGAAUAUUGCACAAUGGGCGGAAGCCUGAUGCAGCAACGCCGCGUGCGGGAUGACGGCCUUCGGGUUGUAAACCGCUUUCAGCAGGGGCGAAGCUUGUGGUGACGGUACCUGCAGAAGAAGCACCGGCUAACUACGUG